Molecule: ribosomal RNA, 460 nt
Filed under: uncultured bacterium
Lineage: Bacteria
Description: bacterial SSU rRNA
Rfam family: Bacterial small subunit ribosomal RNA
Source: RNAcentral
UACGGAAGGCAGCAGUGGGGAAUAUUGCACAAUGGGCGAAAGCCUGAUGCAGCUAUGCCGCGUGUAUGAAGAAGGCCUUAGGGUUGUAAAGUACUUUCAUCGGGGAGGAAAAAACAAAACUAAUAAUUUUAUUUCUUGACGUUACCCGAAAAAGAAGCACCGGCUAACUCCGUGCCAGCAGCCGCGGUAAUACGGAGGGUGCUAGCGUUAAUCAGAAUUACUGGGCGUAAAGAGCACGUAGGUGGUUUUUUUAAGUCAGAUGUGAAAUCCCUGGGCUUAACCUAGGAACUGCAUUUUGAAACUGAAAUACUAGAGUAUCGUAGAGGGAGGUAGAAUUCUAGGUGUAGCGGUGAAAUGCGUAGAUAUCUGGAGGAAUACCUGUGGCGAAAGCGGCCUCCUAAACGAAUACUGACACUGAGGUGCGAAAGCGUGGGGAGCAAACAGGGAUUAGGAUACCCGU